RNAcentral lists this ribosomal RNA (425 nucleotides) under uncultured bacterium. RNAcentral's name for it is "partial 16S ribosomal RNA". It matches the Rfam family "Bacterial small subunit ribosomal RNA", at positions 354 to 796 of the family's 1533-position model. The record is from RNAcentral.
GUGGGGAAUAUUGGACAAUGGGCGCAAGCCUGAUCCAGCCAUGCCGCGUGAGUGAUGAAGGCCCUAGGGUUGUAAAGCUCUUUCACCGGUGAAGAUAAUGACGGUAACCGGAGAAGAAGCCCCGGCUAACUUCGUGCCAGCAGCCGCGGUAAUACGAAGGGGGCUAGCGCUGUUCGGAAUUACUGGGCGUAAAGCGCACGUAGGCGGGUAUUUAAGUCAGGGGUGAAAUCCCAGAGCUCAACUCUGGAACUGCCUUUGAUACUGGGUACCUAGAGUAUGGAAGAGGUAAGUGGAAUUCCGAGUGUAGAGGUGAAAUUCGUAGAUAUUCGGAGGAACACCAGUGGCGAAGGCGGCUUACUGGUCCAUUACUGACGCUGAGGUGCGAAAGCGUGGGGAGCAAACAGGAUUAGAUACCCUUGUAGUCC